UACGGAGGGUGCAAGCGUUAUCCGGAUUCACUGGGUUUAAAGGGUGCGUAGGUGGGCAAGUAAGUCAGUGGUGAAAUCUCCGGGCUUAACCCGGAAACUGCCAUUGAUACUAUUUGUCUUGAAUACUGUGGAGGUCAGCGGAAUAUGUCAUGUAGCGGUGAAAUGCUUAGAUAUGACAUAGAACACCAAUUGCGAAGGCAGCUUACUAAGCAGAGAUUGACGCUGAGGCACGAAAGCGUGGGGAUCAAACAGG
RNAcentral lists this ribosomal RNA (253 nucleotides) under uncultured bacterium. RNAcentral describes it as "partial 16S ribosomal RNA". It matches the Rfam family "Bacterial small subunit ribosomal RNA", at positions 524 to 776 of the family's 1533-position model. The record is from RNAcentral.